UACAGAGGGGGCAAGCGUUGUUCGGAAUUACUGGGCGUAAAGGGCGCGUAGGCGGCCUUCUAAGUCGAACGUGAAAUCCCUGGGCUCAACCCAGGAACUGCGUCCGAUACUGGGAGGCUUGAAUCCGGGAGAGGGAUGUGGAAUUCCAGGUGUAGCGGUGAAAUGCGUAGAUAUCUGGAGGAAUACCGGUGGCGAAGGCGGCAUCCUGGACCGACAUUGACGCUGAGGAGCGAAAGCUAGGGGAGCAAACGGG
Molecule: ribosomal RNA, 253 nt
Filed under: uncultured bacterium
Lineage: Bacteria
Description: partial 16S ribosomal RNA
Rfam family: Bacterial small subunit ribosomal RNA
Source: RNAcentral